GUGAGGUUGAUAGAAAGAGAGAGAAAGAGAGAGAAAGAGAGAGAGAGAGCUUUGCAGGGCAAACAGGGUGGGGCCUGGUCCCUGAGCUUUAUUCUGGGUAAUUACAGACUCCCGUGUGGAUAUUACUAAGGUCCCAGCCUUGCAGAGGCAAUGCAUGGCCACAUUCCCACUGCAUUUAAGAGGAAAAGAUGAAGGAGAAAAAAAAAUCAGUGAAGGUCUGUUUGGGGGGAAGGGGCAAAAGCUCAAUGAUGUGGCCCAGCUCCCUUGCCUGAUCCCGGAGCAGUAUUACAGGGUUACUGGGAUGAGCUGCCUACAGUUGUCUGAAGCAGAUAGCGUGCUAUUACAGAGGCAGCCUGUCCGGGGGGUGUAGGGUCACCCGCUGUCGUGAGAAAAAGCAACCAGUCAGUCACCAGCCUGUGUGUGUGUGUGUGUGUUCGAGAGAGAGAGAGAGACUGAAGACAGGAUGGCACCAGUGUAGGCCAGUUUGUAUCAGAAGCAGCCUGGAGCCACCAGGGAGAGGCUAGCACUAUUAUCGCCAUGCUCUGGGUGCCCUGGUGACGCGAUGCCCGCUUAUCUUCACCGCCAUCGGCUCUUCCGCCACUGAGUCAUCCCACGUCUGUGCCCUAGCGGGAAUCUCCUGAUUCUUCAGCUCUGCUGGAGAGCUGAUCUGGAGCUUCCCUCUUCCCAUCUGAGUCUGCCCAUCAGGCUGGAGAGCUUGGCAGGGCCAUUAAUGAGGAAUGAGGAAGGUGUGAGGUACACACAGAAGAGUUAAUAUAAUUAACCAGAGUUACCGGUGUUCAGCAAAAUGUCCAGCCCAACUACAUCACAAAAGAACUGAAACUAGGGAAAGGAAACAAGGUCACUGUGGUGAGCAUCCAUUUCUGAUGUACUGACAUUAUUGACUACAUAAUCCCUUUUUUUCUCUCCCUCUCUCUAUAUGUCUUUGCAUAUAUCUUACAAUAGAAAUGGCUCUGUACAUCAUAGACACACUGUCUGCACUUUGCCUUUAUUUGCAGAAAACUAUUAUAUUUAUGAAAUCUAUUAUAUUUAUUAUAUAAUGCAUAACUCCAAUUAUUUGCUAUAAAACAAGAUCUUGGCAAACACAUCAAUGUAACAUCAGCUUAUAACUGUCAAACAGCAACAUUAAAAAAAACAUGUUUAAACUGAAUUUAAAAUAUAUGGGGUUGUAAAUGAGGACUUUAUGAAGAUUAACAUUUGUUGAAUGGCUGCUAUAUAUGGUGGGGUUCUGCCUCAUCUGCUGCUGUGGAUGAGCCACCACUGCUCAAUCUCAUCACAGAUAAUUAUCAGGUAAAGGUCUGUACAAAUAAGAAAUAUUUAAUUUAUUUUAAUAAAAUCUAUUUAGUUUAAUAGUUAAUUAUACAAUGAAAAAACCCAGUACAUUUUUACCAGAAACACAAUGAUGCAAGCAACUGCCCAGAAAUGGUGCAGCAUGUUGUAAUAAGAUCAUUGUAUGGAUAACCAUGAUUCAUGGUUUCAUGCAGAAUUUGUAAAAGCAAUAGUGGUGUGUUGGUGUGCUGCUAUUUUGCCAAACAAAGACAGCUUUGGAAUUCUGUAAUGGAAGUGAUGUUCCUUUUCAUCCAUCCAACACAAUAAAGUUUAUCAACAUGCCCAUUAGAGUACUGAACUCUCCUGUGCUUCUUGCUUUGCUAAAUUGUUUGGGUCAGUGGUGUUUGGCAGAUUUACUUGUAUUUUACCAUUAACAAUAGAAAUUGCAAAAUCUUGACAGAAAAAGUCACUUUAAAUUGUAUUCAUUUUUAUUGGGUAAGCAUUUGAAUGCAUGUGGCAGGCACAAUGAUGUGUCACCAAAGCAUUUCUUGAUGACCAAGCCUACCACGCAUUUAUUGUGUGGUGUCUUGGGUUUCAGUGAUAGCCAUUUGAAAAUGCUUCUUCCCCCUCUUCUGCAGUAGACCAACCCUUGAGUAUAAAAAAAUAAACAAACUGUAACCUCUUUCUAAAUGCACCAUUGGGAAGCUUCUCCACACUGACCCCAGUCUACAUUUGACUGCUUGGUUUAGGGCCAUCAGUUUGGGAGAGGAUUGGGCUGUACCUUGUGGAAUGGAUAAGAGAUGAGUAGAGUAGGUUGCUUGACUAGAAAGUUUAAGUCCACUAAUGCCUGUUUCCCCAUGGUUUCCCCAUGUGUGCCUAAUUUAAAUGUCCAUACAGCAUUCUUUUAUAGAUACAAUAUACAUAUAUACUGGAAAAUUAACAGAUGAUUCAUAGUUGUGAUUCAAUUGUUUUUUGUUUUUUUUUUUCUUUUUUUGCUUUCCCAUUUUAUUGACUGUACAAGCAUAUAGUUGGGAAGUACAGUACUGUGCAAAAUUCUUAGGCACAUGCAAAGAAAUGCUAUAGAGCAAAGAUGCCUUCAAAAAUAAUUUAAAUGUUUCUACAUUUAAAAAAAAUACUAUAAAGAGCAGUAAACAGUAAAUGAAACAAAGUCAAUAUUUGGUGUGACGAUCCUUUUAAAGUACAGUUAGUACAUUUAGUACAGUUUUAUAA
This is a long non-coding RNA of Pangasianodon hypophthalmus (striped catfish), 2517 nucleotides long. RefSeq lists it as uncharacterized. NCBI's taxonomy places the organism in Eukaryota, Metazoa, Chordata, Actinopteri, Siluriformes, Pangasiidae. The transcript has 5 exons. The record is from RefSeq and is a predicted model, not a curated record.